This is an RNA transcript of Alligator mississippiensis (American alligator), 2316 nucleotides long. It is a transcript of the gene named sulfotransferase 1C2, with no coding region annotated. The record is from RefSeq and is a predicted model, not a curated record. The transcript is spliced from 12 exons. Lineage: Eukaryota; Metazoa; Chordata; Crocodylia; Alligatoridae.
CUGAGCUUCAGGGACGUACUUGACUGCCGUGGGGAAUGCCCCGGAGCGACUCCGCUCCCUGCGGGCACUGACUCAGACUCGGAGAUUUGUGGCUCCUCCACGGGCCACGGGAGACCUGGGAAAGGAAACGUCCAUAAAUUGUGAGAGGUCCCAAACAGGGGAGCCCAGCACCGUCAGACAGCAGGGGUGGGGGACACUCCGGCGCUGGAGGGCUCAGCAGAGGGGGACAGCCGCUGGCCGGGGCGGGCUCGCUGCAGCGAUGCCCGUGCUCUGCGGGGGGGCUCCCAGGCCUCGGGGCUGGGCUGGUCCCCCCCACCCCGGGUCCAGACCCCUUGCUGCUACAUGUGUCGGGGGGUUAAGCCUCCCUGAGUGUUGCUGGGUGUUGGCUAGAGCCGGGCUGGGCUGGGCCUGCGCUCCUGCGGGGACCAAAGCCAGAGGGUUGUGGCUGGAGGGCGAGAGGACAAUCUGGGAAAAAAACUGGGAAGCUGGGCUGACCUAAACCCCGAACAUUUGAUUAUAUUUAGAAAAAGCACCCAGACAGAAAUCCGAGGAUGCACAAAGACGACGUGUUUGGGAAAACCCGGCUGUAUGGUAACCCUAAUAUGUCCCCAAUAGAUCUCCCCGCGGAAGGAGAGGACCUUUCCCUUGAUCCCUGCUGGCAGAAGGCCAGUACUUGACCUGGCAAAGGAUCAUGGUUGCGUUGUUCAAUUAAACUCUGUUUAAGCCUGGCGCUGCAGUGCUCUUCCCCUCUUCCGCUCCUCCCCUCGCAAAGGAAGGGAAGAAAAGGUUGUAACGUCAGGGAGAACAUCUGGAAAAAAUCUGGACUUUUCAACUAUGCUUCAGUGAUGAGCAACUUAAAAGGUGGUUCAAGGUUCAAACUAAAAUAUGCAACCCUCCUGCCUCUUCGGCUUCUAGCAGAGCGCUCAUCACACAAGAUGCCAGAUCGCACCAGGACACGCACAUUGAUUUAUGGCUUCACCAAGAGCGCGCGGAGCCUCAUCGGCCACUGACUCAACCUCUGCUCAGCCAAAAGCUGGAGCCCUAGCUGCUGCUGUGGCUUUGACUUCCCCUUUCUCCCGAACCCAGGCGUGCGGCACCGAGGGAGACCCCAGACCCGGCUCGGCGAGACCCCAGGUGUCCCACCUACCCCCCAGGAUGUCUGAGGAUCCUCCAGGGCAGGAGCGCCGCCCACUGGUGGCUGUGGACGGCGUCCCAUUGCCCGAAAAGACAUGGGAAAACUGGGCCCAGAUCAAGGCCUUCCAGGCUAAGCCUGACGACCUCCUCAUCUGCACUUACCCCAAGGCAGGCACCACCUGGAUCCAGGAGAUCGUGGACAUGAUCCAGCAGGGUGGGGACCCCGAGAAGUGCCGUCGGGCCCCACUUCAUGAACGGCACCCCUUCCUGGAGUGGGCCCGCAGCCCUCAGUCCACUGGGGUGGCCUGGGCUGACGCCAUGCCCCCCCCGCGGACCCUCAAGACCCACCUCCCUGUGAAGCUCCUGCCUGCGUCCUUCUGGGAACAGGGCUGCAAGGUGGUGUACAUGGCGCGGAACCCCAAGGACUCAGCCGUGUCCUACUACCACUUCCUGCGCAUGCACCAGCUCCUGCCCCAGCCGGGGCCCUGGCCCCAAUUCCUCGAGGCCUUCAUGGCGGGAACAGUGCCCUGGGGGUCGUGGCACGAGCACGUCAGGGGCUGGUGGCGGGCACGGGAGGUGCUGCCCCUGCUCUUCCUCCACUACGAGGACCUUAAGGAGGACCCAGGGCGAGAGAUCCAGCGGGUGGCCCAGUUCAUUGGGCAGCCCCUGGCGCCGGCUGCACUGGAAAGGGUCGUGCACCACACCUCCUUCGAGGUCAUGCGGGCCAACCCGGCCACCAACCGGGCCAGCGCGCCCCGCUCCGUCCUGGACCAGAGCAUCUCCCCCUUCAUGCGCAAGGGGACCGUGGGUGACUGGAAGAACCACUUCACCGUGGCCCAGAGCGAGCACUUCGACCGGGACUGCGCCAGCAAGACGGCGGGCACCGGCCUGGCCUUCCGCACCGAGCUCUGAGGCCGCGGGCGUGCGGGCUCCCAGACCCCCCACUCCCACCCCCACGUAUCCCAGCGAGCCCAGCUCCAGUGCAGCCCCCCCACAGUGAUGCCUGGGUUCGCUGGGAGGGGCCUGGAAGCUGGUGAGCGAGAGCAAGGCAUGCUGGGAGCCCGGAUGCCUGUGUUCGCUGGGAGAAGGAGGGGCUCACAGCACGGAGGGCGGAGCUUCUUGAGGAAGAGGUGGGACUGCCCAGAAAGGAGGCGGAGCUACCUGGGAGGACCAGCCCAAUGG